GCCCUUCCAAGACCGGAUUUGAAGUGUGAUUGCGUCACACCAUCACAGAGUUCUGUGGGGGAAUUCAUAUUGAAAUGACUAUUCUGGAGAAGAUGAGCCUGCUGGGGAAGGACCUAAAAAUACAAAGAUUGCAGGUGUCCUGGGACAGGUGAGGGAGUGAGUGGAAGCUGGUGGAGCUACUCAGGGAGGACAUCCAAUUCCAGAGAGAGACAGAGGAGAGAAGAGCACAG
This is a long non-coding RNA of Onychostoma macrolepis, 230 nucleotides long. RefSeq lists it as uncharacterized. Lineage: Eukaryota; Metazoa; Chordata; Actinopteri; Cypriniformes; Cyprinidae. The transcript has 3 exons. The record is from RefSeq and is a predicted model, not a curated record.